GACGAACGCUGGCGGCGUGCUUAACACAUGCAAGUCGAACGAAGAGCGAUGGAAGCUUGCUUCUAUCAAUCUUAGUGGCGAACGGGUGAGUAACGCGUAAUCAACCUGCCCUUCAGAGGGGGACAACAGUUGGAAACGACUGCUAAUACCGCAUACGAUCUAAUCUCGGCAUCGAGGAAAGAUGAAAGGUGGCCCCUAUUUAUAAGCUAUCACUGAAGGAGGGGAUUGCGUCUGAUUAGCUAGUUGGAGGGGUAACGGCCCACCAAGGCGAUGAUCAGUAGCCGGUCUGAGAGGAUGAACGGCCACAUUGGGACUGAGACACGGCCCAGACUCCUACGGGAGGCAGCAGUGGGGAAUCUUCCGCAAUGGACGAAAGUCUGACGGAGCAACGCCGCGUGAGUGAUGACGGCCUUCGGGUUGUAAAGCUCUGUUAAUCGGGACGAAAGGCCUUCUUGCGAACAGUUAGAAGGAUUGACGGUACCGGAAUAGAAAGCCACGGCUAACUACGCG
RNAcentral lists this ribosomal RNA (510 nucleotides) under uncultured bacterium. Its description in RNAcentral is "partial 16S ribosomal RNA". It matches the Rfam family "Bacterial small subunit ribosomal RNA", at positions 28 to 507 of the family's 1533-position model. The record is from RNAcentral.